Molecule: long non-coding RNA, 216 nt
Filed under: Elaeis guineensis (African oil palm)
Lineage: Eukaryota; Viridiplantae; Streptophyta; Magnoliopsida; Arecales; Arecaceae
Description: long non-coding RNA (EGUI_LNC009315)
Source: RNAcentral
AGGACUCUGAAAAAAGAUACGAAAGAAAUCUGUCUCUCACGCUCCUCCUUCUAUUGAUCGAGAUUUUGACUUGAGCAUCAGAAAGUCCUCGCUGGAGCCAUCUCUGGUUUGAACUUUUUUACAGAUCGUGCACCCAGGAGACCUACCUUAUCAUCAACUCCAGUGCUCCGACGUCGAGCGAUUUCUUGCAUCAACAGAUUAAUGCUAGAGGAAGGA